AGAGUUUGAUCCUGGCUCAGAAUCAACGCUGGCGGCGUGCCUAAUACAUGCAAGUCGAACGCGAAGACCCCGCAAGGGGUUGUUAGCGUGGCAAACGGGUGAGUAACGCGUGGGCGACCUGCCUUCGAGUGGGGGAUAACCUUCCGAAAGGAGGGCUAAUACCGCAUGACAUACUGCGUUUGGAUACGCAGAUAUCAAAGCCGGGGAUCGCAAGACCUGGCGCUUGAAGAGGGGCCUACGUCCGAUUAGCUAGUUGGUGGGGUAACGGCUCACCAAGGCGACGAUCGGUAUCCGGCCUGAGAGGGCGGACGGACACACUGGGACUGAGACACGGCCCAGACUCCUACGGGAGGCAGCAGUAGGGAAUUGUUCGCAAUGGGCGCAAGCCUGACGACGCAACGCCGCGUGGAGGAUGAAGGGCUUCGGCUCGUAAACUCCUUUCGACCGAGAUGAAUACCCGCAGACUUAAUACGUUUGCGGACUGACAGUAUCGAGGAGAGCC
This 502-nucleotide ribosomal RNA is filed under the name uncultured Acidobacteriaceae bacterium. RNAcentral describes it as "bacterial SSU rRNA". It matches the Rfam family "Bacterial small subunit ribosomal RNA", at positions 8 to 494 of the family's 1533-position model. The record is from RNAcentral. Lineage: Bacteria; Pseudomonadati; Acidobacteriota; Terriglobia; Terriglobales; Acidobacteriaceae.